UUUGGCACCCCGAGGCCCUGCGCAAAGUCUCGCUCCAUUUCGAGUCCGGCGGACGAACUUCGCCCGCGCCCCCCACCAAGGCUAUAGCCCACCCGUUUUUUGGCCAUUUUUCCGCUGGGGGGUUUUGGCACCACGACCUUCGGGCGCUUAUUUUUGGGCGCGGCUUUGCCCGCGGCUUAUUUUUGGCACCCCGAGGCCCUGCGCAAAGUCUCGCCCCAUUUCGAGUCCGGCGGACGAACUUCGCCCGCGCCCCCCACCAAGGCUAUAUCCCUCCCGUUUUUUGGCCAUUUUUCCGCUGGGGGGUUUUGGCACCACGACCUUCGGGCGCUUAUUUUUGGGCGCGGCUUUGCCCGCGGCGUAUUUUUGGCACCCCGAGGCCCUGCGCAAAGUCUCGCCCCAUUCCGAGUCCGGGGGACGAACUUCGCCCGCGCCCCCCACCAAGGCUAUAGCCCACCCGUUUUUUGGCCAUUUUUCCGCUGGGGGGUUUUGGCACCACGACCUUCGGGCGCUUAUUUUUGGGCGUGGUUUUGCCCGCAGCUUAUUUUUGGCGCCCCGAGGCCCCGCGCAAAGUCUCGCCCCAUUCCGAGUCCGGCGGACGAACUUCGCCCGCGCCCCCAACCAAGGCUAUAGCCCACCCGUUUUUUGGCCAUUUUUCCGCUGGGGGGUUUUGGCACCACGACCUUCGGGCGCUUAUUUUUGGACGUGGCUGUGCCCGCGACUUCCCGCGGGCACCCCGAGGCCCCUCGCAAAGUCUCGCCCCAUUCCGAGUCCGGCGGACGAACUUCGCCCGCGCCCCCCACCAAGGCUAUAGCCCACCCGUUUUUUGGCCAUUUUUCCGCUGGGGUGUUUUGGCACCACGACCUUCGGGCGCUUAUUUUUGGAUGCGGCUGUGCCCGCGACUUCCCGCGGCCACCUCGAGGCCCCUCGCAAAGUCUCGCCCCAUUCCGAGUCCGGCGGACGAACUUCGCCCGCGCCGCCCACCAAGGCUAUAGCCCACCCGUUUUUUGGCCAUUUUUCCGCUGGGGGGUUUUGGCACCACGACCUUCGGGCGCUUAUUUUUGGACGUGGCUGUGCCCGCGACUUCCCGCGGGCACCCCGAGGCCCCUCGCAAAGUCUCGCCCCAUUCCGAGUCCGGCGGACGAACUUCGCCCGCGCCCCCCACCAAGGCUAUAGCCCACCCGUUUUUUGGCCAUUUUUCCGCUGGGGGGUUUUGGCACCACGACCUUCGGGCGCUUAUUUUUGGGCGCGGCUUUGCCCGCGGCUUAUUUUUGGCACCCCGAGGCCCUGCGCAAAGUCUCGCCCCAUUUCGAGUCCGGCGGACGAACUUCGCCCGCGCCCCCCACCAAGGCUAUAGCCCACCCGUUUUUUGGCCAUUUUUCCGCUGGGGGGUUUUGGCACCACGACCUUCGGGCGCCUAUUUUUGGGCGCGGCUUUGCCCGCGGCGUAUUUUUGGCACCCCGAGGCCCUGCGCAAAGUCUCGCCCCAUUCCGAGUCCGGCGGACGAACUUCGCCCGCGCCCCCCACCAAGGCUAUAGCCCACCCGUUUUUUGGCCAUUUUUCCGCUGGGGGGUUUUGGCACCACGACCUUCGGGCGCUUAUUUUUGGGCGUGGUUGUGCCCGCGGCUUAUUUUUGGCGCCCCGAGGCCCCUCGCAAAGUCUCGCCCCAUUCCGAGUCCGGCGGACGAACUUCGCCCGCGCCCCCCACCAAGGCUAUAGCCCACCCCGUUUUUUGGCCAUUUUUCCGCUGGGGGGUUUUGGCACCCCCACCUUCGGGCGCUUAUUUUUGGACGCGGCUGUGCCCGCGACUUCCCGCGGGCACCCCGAGGCCCCUCGCAAAGUCUCGCCCCAUUCCGAGUCCGGCGGACAAACUUCGCCCGCGCCCCCCACCAAGGCUAUAGCCCACCCGUUUUUUGGCCAUUUUUCCGCUGGGGUGUUUUGGCACCACGACCUUCGGGCGCUUAUUUUUGGAUGCGGCUGUGCCCGCGACUUCCCGCGGGCACCUCGAGGCCCCUCGAAAAGUCUCGCCCCUUUCCGAGUACGGAGGACGAAUUUCGGCCCGGGCCACCCACCAAGGCUAUAGCCCACCCGUUUUUUACCAAUUUUUCCGCUGGGGGGUUUUGGCACCACGACCUUCGGGAGCUUAUUUUUGGGCGCGGCUUUGCCCGCGGCUUAUUUUUGGCACCCCGAGGCCCUGCGCAAAGUCUCGCCCCAUUUCGAGUCCGGCGGACGAACUUCGCCCGCGCCCCCCACCAAGGCUAUAGCCCACCCGUUUUUUGGCCAUUUUUCCGCUGGGGGGUUUUGGCACCACGACCUUCGGGCGCUUAUUUUUGGACGUGGCUGUGCCCGCGACUUCCCGCGGGCACCCCGAGGCCCCUCGCAAAGUCUCGCCCCAUUCCGAGUCCGGCGGACAAACUUCGCCCGCGCCCCCCACCAAGGCUAUAGCCCACCCGUUUUUUGGCCAUUUUUCCGCUGGGGUGUUUUGGCACCACGACCUUCGGGCGCUUAUUUUUGGAUGCGGCUGUGCCCGCGACUUCCCGCGGGCACCCCGAGGCCCCUCGCAAAGUCUCGCCCCAUUCCGAGUCCGGCGGACGAACUUCGCCCGCGCCCCCCACCAAGGCUAUAGCCCACCCGUUUUUUGGCCAUUUUUCCGCUGGGGGGUUUUGGCACCAAGACCUUCGGGCGCGGCUUUGUCCGCGGCUUAUUUUUGGCACCCCGAGGCCCCUCGCAAAGUCUCGCCCCAUUCCGAGUCCGGCGGACGAACUUCGCCCGCGCCCCCCACCAAGGCUAUUGCCCACCCGGUUUUUGGCCAUUUUUCCGCUGGGGGGUUUUGGCACCACGACCUUCAGGCGCUUAUUUUUGGACGCGGCUGUGCCCGCGACUUCCCGCGGGCACCCCGAGGCCCCUCGCAAAGUCUCGCCCCAUUCCGAGUCCGGCGGACGAACUUCGCCCGCGCUCCCCACCAAGGCUAUAGCCCACCCGUUUUUUGGCCAUUUUUCCGCUGGGGGGUUUUGGCACCACGAUCUUCGGGCGCUUAUUUUUGGGCGCGGCUUUGCCCGCGGCUUAUUUUUGGCGCCCCGAGGCCCCGCGCAAAGUCUCGCCCCAUUCCGACUCCGGCGGACGAACUUCGCCCGCGCCGCCCACCAAGGCUAUAGCCCACCCGUUUUUUGGCCAUUUUUCCGCUGGGGGGUUUUGGCACCACGACCUUUGGGCGCUUAUUUUUGGGCGUGGUUUUGCCCGCGGCUUAUUUUUGGCGCCCCGAGGCCCCGCGCAAAGUCUCGCCCCAUUCCGAGUCCGGCGGACAAACUUCGCCCGCGCCCCCCACCAAGGCUAUAGCCCACCCGUUUUUUGGCCAUUUUUCCGCUGGGGGGUUUUGGCACCACGACCUUCGGGCGCUUAUUUUUGGACGUGGCUGUGCCCGCGACUUCCCGCGGGCACCCCGAGGCCCCUCGCAAAGUCUCGCCCCAUUCCGAGUCCGGCGGACGAACUUCGCCCGCGCCCCCCACCAAGGCUAUAGCCCACCCAUUUUUUGGCCAUUUUUCCGCUGGGGGGUUUUGGCACCACGACCUUCGGGUGCUUAUUUUUGGACGCGGCUGUGCCCGCGACUUCCCGCGGGCACCUCGAGGCCCCUCGCAAAGUCUCGCCCCAUUCCGAGUCCGGCGGACGAACUUCGCCCGCGCCCCCCACCAAGGCUAUAGCCCACCCGUUUUUUGGCCAUUUUUCCGCUGGGGGGUUUUGGCACCACGACCUUCGGGCGCUUAUUUUUGGACGUGGCUGUGCCCGCGACUUCCCGCAGGCACCCCGAGGCCCCUCGCAAAGUCUCGCCCCAUUCCGAGUCCGGCGGAUGAACUUCGCCCGCGCCCCCCACCAAGGCUAUAGCCCACCCGUUUUUUGGCCAUUUUUCCGCUCAGAGGUUUUGGCACCAAGACCUUCCGGCGCUUAUUUUUGGGCGCGGCUUUGUCCGCGGCUUAUUUUUGGCACCCCGAGGCCCCUCGCAAAGUCUCGCCCCAUUCCGAGUCCGGCGGACGAACUUCGCCCGCGCCCCCCACCAAGGCUAUUGCCCACCCGGUUUUUGGCCAUUUUUCCGCUGCGGGGUUUUGGCACCACGACCUUCAGGCGCUUAUUUUUGGACGCGGCUGUGCCCGCGACUUCCCGCGGGCACCCCGAGGCCCCUCGCAAAGUCUCGCCCCAUUCCGAGUCCGGCGGACGAACUUCGCCCGCGCUCCCCACCAAGGCUAUAGCCCACCCGUUUUUUGGCCAUUUUUCCGCUGGGGGGUUUUGGCACCACGACCUUCGGGCGCUUAUUUUUGGGCGUGGCUUUGCCCGCGGCUUAUUUUUGGCGCCCCGAGGCCCCGCGCAAAGUCUCGCCCCAUUCCGAGUCCGGCGGACGAACUUCGCCCGCGCCCCCCACCAAGGCUAUAGCCCACCCGUUUUUUGGCCAUUUUUCCGCUGGGGGGUUUUGGCACCACGACCUUCGGGCGCUUAUUUUUGGGCGCGACUUUGCCCGCGGCUUAUUUUUGGCGCCCCGAGGCCCCGCGCAAAGUCUCGCCCCAUUCCGAGUCCGGCGGACGAACUUCGCCCGCGCCCCCCACCGAGGCUAUAGCCCACCCGUUUUUUGGCCAUUUUUCCGCUGGGGGGUUUUGGCACCACGACCUUUGGGCGCUUAUUUUUGGGCGCGGCUUUGCCCGCGGCUUAUUUUUGGCGCCCCGAGGCCCCGCGCAAAGUCUCGCCCCAUUCCGAGUCCGGCGGACGAACUUCGCCCGCGCCCCCCACCGAGGCUAUAGCCCACCCGUUUUUUGGCCAUUUUUCCGCUGGGGGGUUUUGGCACCACGACCUUCGGGCGUUUAUUUUUGGGCGCGGCUUUGCCCGCGGCUUAUUUUUGGCACCCCGAGGCCCCGCGCAAACUCUCGCCCCAUUCCGAGUCCGGCGGACGAACUUCGCCCGCGCCCCCCACCAAGGCUAUAGCCCACCCGUUUUUUGGCCAUUUUUCCGCUGGGGGGUUUUAGCACCACGACCUUCGGGCGCUUAUUUCUGGACGCGGCUGUGCCCGCGACUUCCCGCGGUCACCCCGAGGCCCCUCGCAAAGUCUCGCCCCAUUCCGAGUCCGGCGGACGAACUUCGCCCGCGCCCCCCACCAAGGCUAUAGCCCACCCGUUUUUUGGCCAUUUUUCCGCUGGGGGGUUUUGGCACCACGACCUUCGGGCGCUUAUUUUUGGGCGCGGCUUUGCCUGCGGCUUAUUUUUGGCACCCCGAGGCCCCUCGCAAAGGCUCGCCCCAUUCCGAGUCCGGCGGACGAACUUCGCCCGCGCCCCCCACCAAGGCUAUAGCCCACCCGUUUUUUGGCCAUUUUUCCGCUGGGGGGUUUUGGCACCACGACCUUCGGGCGCUUAUUUUUGGGCGCGGCUUUGCCCGCGGCUUAUUUUUGGUACCCCGAGGCCCCUCGCAAAGUCUCGCCCCAUUCCGAGUCCGGCGGACGAACUUCGCCCGCGCCCCCCACCAAGGCUAUAGCCCACCCGUUUUUUGGCCAUUUUUCCGCUGGGGGGUUUUGGCACCACGACCUUCGGGCGCUUAUUUUUGGGCGCGGCUUUGCCCGCGGCUUAGUUUUGGCACCCCGAGGCCCCUCGCAAAGUCUCGCCCCAUUCCGAGUCCGGCGGACGAACUUCGCCCGCGCCCCCCACCAAGGCUAUAGCCCACCCGUUUUUUGGCCAUUUUUCCGCUGGGAGGUUUUGGCACCACGACCUUCGGGCGCUUAUUUUUGGGCGCGGCUUUUCCCGCGGCUUAUUUUUGGCACCCCGAGGCCCCUCGCAAAGUCUCGCCCCAUUCCGAGUCCGGCGGACGAACUUCGCCCGCGCCCCCCACCAA
Molecule: long non-coding RNA, 5859 nt
Filed under: Citrus x clementina
Lineage: Eukaryota; Viridiplantae; Streptophyta; Magnoliopsida; Sapindales; Rutaceae
Description: Citrus clementina (C. clementina) long non-coding RNA (CCLE_LNC003719)
Source: RNAcentral